This 72-nucleotide transfer RNA is filed under the name Bos taurus (domestic cattle). It matches the Rfam family "tRNA". Rfam says of the family: Transfer RNA (tRNA) molecules are approximately 80 nucleotides in length. Their secondary structure includes four short double-helical elements and three loops (D, anti-codon, and T loops). Lineage: Eukaryota; Metazoa; Chordata; Mammalia; Artiodactyla; Bovidae. The record is from Rfam by way of RNAcentral. RNAcentral also lists the same sequence under 2 other names.
UCCCCGGUGGCUCAGACGGUAAAGAGUCUGUUUGCAGUGCAGGAGACCUGGGUUUGAUCCCCGGUUUGGGAA